This 465-nucleotide ribosomal RNA is filed under the name uncultured bacterium. RNAcentral's name for it is "partial 16S ribosomal RNA". It matches the Rfam family "Bacterial small subunit ribosomal RNA", at positions 28 to 507 of the family's 1533-position model. The record is from RNAcentral.
GACGAACGCUGGCGGCGUGCUUAACACAUGCAAGUCGAACGGAAAGGCCCUGCUUGCAGGGUACUCGCGUGGCGAACGGGUGAGUAACACGUGGGUGAUCUGCCCUGCACUUCGGGAUAAGCCUGGGAAACUGGGUCUAAUAUAGGAUAGGAGCCCUUCUUCUUGAGAUGGUUGGAAAGAUUUUUUGGUGUAGGGUGAGCUCGCGGGCUAUCAGCUUGUUGGUGGGGUAAUGGCCUACCAAGGCGGCGGCGGGUAGCCGGCCUGGGAGGGUGGACGGCCACAAUGGGGCUGGGAAUCGGCCCAGGCUCCUACGGGGAGCAGCAGGGGGGAAUAUUGCACAAUGGGCGCAAGCCUGAUGCAGCGACGCCGCGGGGGGGAUUACGGCCUUCGGGUUGUAAACUCCUUUCGCUAGGGACGAAGCUUUGUGUGACGGUACCUAGAUAAGAAGCACCGGCUAACUACGUG